CCAAAGUACAGAAUAACAAACACAUUUCAUUCCUGUCUCUCACUCUAAAGUUUCUAUUCCAUGGGAGUACUCCUAUAUUAAGUACUGACUAUCUGUGACUGAAGAUGUUAAAAUAUGUCAAAAAACCAAAACUGUCAGGCUGACGCUGAGAGUUAGAAUGGGUUUUCUGGGAUGAGUGCAGAAAACACCACUCAUUGCACACAGAAAGCAACAAGAAAAACUGGAAAAUCAUGUGCCACUUUCUGCUUACCUCACUACCUCUUUCAGUUUCUUUUAAUCAUUGGACAAGGCAGGUUGGCCUGGGUCUAGAAAACACCAAAAAAAUUUGCCUCCCCAGAGUGUCCACUGCAUUCCAAACUUUGUCUCAAACUGCUGGAUGAAGAAGAAAUUGAGGACACUCCCAAGGCAGGAGAAAGACGGAGUCAAUCCAAAUGCCUCCUUCCCCUUAAACCAGGUAAUAUGGUAAUGAUUCUGCACAACUUUGAAAAGAUAAAAAUCUUUUCUUGAACAGACAGGCUUGACCAAGAGCAUGGCACAGAAGCAACAGCUCUCUCAAGUUGAAGAGCUCAGGCUGGGAGAUGCUCUACACAUACCAAGAGGAGGCAUGUGCCAGAGGAGGAGGAGGUAUGGCGAGUCCUUGAAGUGUAAGCCUAAAGCAAAGAUGGAUGAUCCCAGCAUCAUGAACAAAGAGAAAACAAAAACACUGACUAGGAAGAAACAGAAAAAACACAAACCUCAACAGACAUGCUGAAGUCAAAACAAAGGCAUUCUGUGUCAAAAAGCUAAAGAAUGUAAGAAACAACCACUUGUGGAGGAAGGUGAGCCUACCAAGGUUUUCCUUUGGAGGAAUGUUCCCUGAGGGAGCUGUGAUAAGCUUAUCCCAACCCUCUCCUAAGGAGAGAUACCCCUUAGAUGGGACCAUCCCCUCUUCUCUUGGUGAGCUAUCCUACCAUGCUUUGGUGACUAUGCUGAUCCUUUGUAACCCAUUGAUUUCCUCCCUGGUGCAACCCUGGCCUUCUGCCAUGUGAUAGAUUGGCAUUUAAGAAAAAAAAGAGAAACACUUAAAGAAGUUAAAACUGCUGGAGGCUGGUGAGAGUUUUUCUCCCAGCCAACAACUGGCCAUUUUUAAGAACUGACAGCAGUUUUGACUGUUGAAAAGUGAGAUCAACUUGUGAACACCAUCUUAAGACUUAAGCUUGGGAAUUUCUUUGUCUUUUUGUUUUCUGGCUGUGAAAGGUAACAGAGCUCCAGCUGGUCUCUCAUUCCCCUGCCCAGCCCAUGUGGCCUGGGCUGGGCUGGGCUGGGCCUGCCGCGGCUCCCGGCCGGGAGAUGGGGCCUGCAGGGCUUGCCCCGGGCUCUGGCCGGGCCAGGCCGGUCCCUGGCUCGGCUGCAGUUUUUGCUGGGACUGAAUUCACCACAGACUGCUGAGUAAAGAAAGAAAAAGCUCUUGACCUGCGGUGGGCUGAGACAGUGACCACACUCACCAGAGCAGCCAUGAAGAAUCUUCCAUCACAGACAGCUCCAGCUGCUGCACCAGCAGAGAUCACAGAACCAUCUACAAGGCCUGGGCAAAAUUUUAACCUUUUCAUUACCCAGAUGAGACUUGCAGAUUAAUCUUUUUUUCCAGAGAGAGAAAGAGAGAGUAAUCAACAUGUAAAGAGACUUUAUAAGCUAUCAGAGACGGUAAAGAAAGGAAUUAAGCUUUAAAAGAAGUAGAGAAUAAGAAGAUGCUUUAAUAAACUGAAAUAUUUCUCUGUUAAAGCUAUAGAG
Long non-coding RNA from Parus major (Great Tit), 1770 nucleotides. The record is from Ensembl. Lineage: Eukaryota; Metazoa; Chordata; Aves; Passeriformes; Paridae.